Molecule: small RNA, 477 nt
Filed under: Oryza sativa Japonica Group (Japanese rice)
Lineage: Eukaryota; Viridiplantae; Streptophyta; Magnoliopsida; Poales; Poaceae
Description: sRNA Os07g0123200
Source: RNAcentral
AUCGAUCGAAACCAAAUUUGGGGAUUCAAAUCCCCCAAUUCGAUCUCCAAAUGCGAGCUGGAUUCGAUAAAAUAUGUCGAACCACUCCGAUGGGAACAGCCAGCAAGGACGCGAACAGUGGAAAACCUCUGAUGCUGCUGGUGGGCCCGGCGCUGCUCGGCCGUCGGAUCCCGAUCGGACGGACGAGGAUAUCAUCGGCUGAGAUGCUGCCGAUCGAUGAGGAAAUUGAUUAGCACUGCAAAUUACUAGUAAUUACCUCUCGAAGAAUUAGUAGUAGGAAUUUUGUUGGUGAUAGAUUUGAGUUGAUGUUUGAACAUAAAGAGUAUGGAGAUGAAAAAAAAAAUGUGAAUAGAAAUUCUCCGGCGCUUGAUUUCUCCACGUGUUUGUCUCAACCUCUCAAAAUACUGGUCCAUACCUAGCAAUACUCCACUUUGUAUGCUUUUUUUUGAAACCCAAUAAUUUGUAUGCUGAACAAAC